RNAcentral lists this transfer RNA (71 nucleotides) under Sterigmatomyces sp. RNAcentral's name for it is "tRNA-Phe". It matches the Rfam family "tRNA". Rfam says of the family: Transfer RNA (tRNA) molecules are approximately 80 nucleotides in length. Lineage: Eukaryota; Fungi; Basidiomycota; Agaricostilbomycetes; Agaricostilbales; Agaricostilbaceae. The record is from RNAcentral.
GCCUGAUUAGCUCAAUGGUAGAGCACCGUAUUGAAGCUGCGGAAGUAUAUGUUCGAUUCAUGUAUCAGGCG